CUCUCUGUGCUAAACAUAUGGCACGGCCGCGCGACGUACGAAAUAGCCACUGACAGUGUGCGUGUCACCGUAGCACCACUCACCAUGCAGUCACAGACAUGGCUGUCCGUUCUGGGUUGACCACUCAUCACUGUCUGGCUGCUGCUAACAGAGGGCGACAUUGCAACAUGGUCUGGUUCCAAGUACUUCUGACAUGGGUGGUUAGUGACACACGCGGUACAUAGAAGUGGCAUCACACUGCGACAUUUUCCUACCAGUAUCACUGUCAGCGGACUGAGGUGCUCCCCAACCCGCAAAAGGCACUGCAGAUGAUGUCCAAGUUGUACAAUCGCAAGGCACCAAACUUGUCAAACAGUGAUGGAUACAUUGUAUGUCACAAGUCCAAAAGUACUGUCUACUCCUGUUUGGUGCUUAGCUGUGGUUUGCAACAUGAAACAGCCAGAGAAGUUCCAGCUGGUGGCCAUGUGGUGGAAGCCUUUGUUCUUUGAGUCAUUCUGACUCCAUGCUUGAGUAACAUUGACUCCACACCACAGCUCACACAGUGUUUACCUGAUUUGUUUUUAUUACAGGCAAUGGCCACUCAUUCAGUUGGAAUGUCCAGCUAAAUGAACUCCAAAUCUUGGGCCAGAAUUCUCAAGCCAUUUUCUUCUGUGUCGAUGUUUUAUCUGAGGAAGGAAAAUCUACAGAGAGACACCAUCCCCAAAGCCAACUACAGCAUGCAUGUCAUCACCAUCCUUUGAUUGAGACAAACCUGUAGCUGCAGAUUUUUUUUUGAUGUGUCUUGUACCAGCUGUCCUCAUUGGAUCCUCUUCCACAAGUCCAAGCACUGAUGCCAUGACUAGCGUGACAUGAUUGAGUAUCCUUGCUCAUCAACCUCUGUGCCUGUAGUACUAGCGAAUAUCCAGAUGCUCAGGCGUGGCAGGGCACCUGUUGGAAUCACAAAGCAUUGUACAGUAGCACACAGCAAGGUGGAGGGAAUUUGCUUUAAGUCUUCUAUUAUAAGUUUCUUUCACCAGCAAACCAUCACAAGAAUGACUGUCCAGAUGUUGUGACUUGUAUGUUGCUUGCUGAUUUUACUGUGGUCUGCUUUCAUGGAGAUGUCAUCGACUGGCUGAAGGAGCAUAGGUGAUCAACAAUUUUAUAUGCAAACCCUACAGUACAGGUUAAAGAACGUCAGCGAGCCAAGCAGGGUGAAGUGGUUUCUGUCUACUGUGGUCCUUGGAGGGGCUUCACUUCACAAGCUUGGCCAGUGCAAACGGUGUUCCAGAGCUCAAAGAUUAGAUUUGCAAAAUUAAAGUAUCCAUCAUUGCCUUGACACACUAAACAUGGUUUCAGGUUUGCAAUGUAGAUGCUUUUAGUCAGAAAAAGCAAAUUUUGCGGACAGCUGUGGUAUCAAGGGUGUUUUUUGUCUAGGAAAAGAAAUAACCUUAAUUUAAAGUCUAGCUGCAAUGCAUUUUUCUUUGAAACAAAUUUGUCUGGAACUUUGAACACUUAUUCUAUGUGUAAAAACUCUUACAUUCCUAUUUGAGUACAUGCAUUCAAGAGUGCACUUUUGAAACACUUAAAAUUAUCCAUGCCUUCCUGGACAAUUGAUGAGGGCGCUGUUGCUGUAAUGUCGAGGGAAGAUAUUUCAGCGCAUAGGUUUUUAACAUUUCUGAAAAAGGGACUGAUGUUUGCUUAUUGCUAUAGACAUAAAUAAAAGUUGAAUCAGCAGAGAAGAAAGUUUUGUCGAGCAAAAUCUACAAAAAUACAUCACUUUUGUGAACAAAUUAAUUUAACAUAGGGCUUUCUUCUUGGGAUGACAUCACAGUUUUGCUCAUGAAUAUGAAAAUGUCAUUAGCAUAAAAACCCAAAAGGCAGUAAAUUGCCCUUUGAAACUCUGAAACAAAAGUUGAAAAUCACGUAAACUGGGACACAGAGGAUGCAUGUUGAGGUGUUUUAGUCAAACAAAUUGAUUGCAGCCACCCUUGAAGUUGGUGUCCAAUCGAAUUCAGUAAAAAAAAAAUCAGUAUUUUGUGCAUUGGAUGGACUAAUUUCGGCAAAGUUGUACUAUUUCUUAGAAGUUUCAAAUUUUUUUCUUCAGAUUUUCCUUUUUUCAUCAAAAUACAAAAGCAGGCAUUGUAAAUUCCUCUCAUAUUCCAAAUCACAAGUAGCUCGAACAUGAGGUUUGUUUAUUAUUUCCAUCAUAGUUAAAAGUUUCUUUUUCACCAAUUGAUUUUUUUUGACGGAUACUUGUACAUAAUAUCAAAAUGAAUACAUGUAAUUUUGAAGCAGUUUGUAUAGAAGUGCUUACCCACUUGAUUGACGCACAGUUAUAUUAAACUGAAAUACAUCAAAGUCGGUAUUUAGCAAUCCAUUUCUACCCUCAUUGGUAUGCUGUCUCUUCCGUGUUUGCAUAUUCAAAUUUUGCUUAUUUAAAUAUAUGCAGAUGACCUGUGUCCUCUGACCUUUUUCUAAAUUGCGCAAUACUAACCUUUAAAUAUAAGUUCCGAAUUCUUAUUUAUCAAGAAGCAAUUGGCCUGGUGGUUAGCGAGCUGGCUGCCAGGCCAGGGGAUCCCGGUUCAAUUCCCCGGGGUUCCCGGAAAAGGAGGUUUUUUUUUUUUUUUUU
Acanthaster planci (crown-of-thorns starfish) is the source of this 2608-nucleotide long non-coding RNA. The record is from RefSeq and is a predicted model, not a curated record. Lineage: Eukaryota; Metazoa; Echinodermata; Asteroidea; Valvatida; Acanthasteridae.